UGUCUGUUAUUGGAGGUAGCUGUGAACUAGCCUGUCUGUUAUUGGAGGUAGCUGUGAACUAGCCUGUCUGUUAUUGGAGGUAGCUGUGAACUAGCCUGUCUGUUAUUGGAGGUAGCUGUGAACUAGCCUGUCUGUUAUUGGAGGUAGCUGUGAACUAGCCUGUCUGUUAUUGGAGGUAGCUGUGAACUAGCCUGUCUGUUAUUGGAGGUAGCUGUGAACUAGCCUGUCUGUUAUUGGAGGUAGCUGUGAACUAGCCUGUCUGUUAUUGGAGGUAGCUGUGAACUAGCCUGUCUGUUAUUGGAGGUAGCUGUGAACUAGCCUGUCUGUUAUUGGAGGUAGCUGUGAACUAGCCUGUCUGUUAUUGGAGGUAGCUGUGAACUAGCCUGUCUGUUAUUGGAGGUAGCUGUGAACUAGCCUGUCUGUGAUUGGAGGUAGCUGUGAACUAGCCUGUCUGUUAUAGAGAGCCAGAGAGGUUAUUGUGGAGGGAUCACUUACACACACACACACACACACACACACACACACACACACACACACACACACACACACACACACACACACACACACACACACACACACACACACACACACACAUUGACCCUCUGCACACACACACACACACACACACACACACACACACACACACACACACACACACACACACACACACACACACACACAUUGACCCUCUGCACACACACACACAUUGACCCUCUGCACACACUGGCAGCCAGCUGAGAAAAGUGUAGUUUGAUACAGACUUUUCUACUUUGUAUAUAUUAUAUAUAUUUCUCUCCUAUUUUCUGAUUUCUUUGUG
Molecule: long non-coding RNA, 817 nt
Organism: Oncorhynchus keta (chum salmon)
Lineage: Eukaryota; Metazoa; Chordata; Actinopteri; Salmoniformes; Salmonidae
Exons: 3
Source: RefSeq, a predicted model, not a curated record